Molecule: ribosomal RNA, 1580 nt
Filed under: bacterium
Lineage: Bacteria
Description: bacterial SSU rRNA
Rfam family: Bacterial small subunit ribosomal RNA
Source: RNAcentral
UUAUGGAGAGUUUGAUCCUGGCUCAGAACGAACGCUGACGGCGUGGAUUAGGCAUGCAAGUCGAACGAGAUAUAGAAAGUUUGAUCCUUCGGGUGAAAAACUUUCUAUUGAGAGUGGCGAAAGGGUGAGUAAUGCGUGAAUAACAUACCUUUAAGACUGGAAUAACACUCCGAAAGGAAUGCUAAUACCAGAUGCAAAUAGCGGGUGGCAUCGCUUGCUAUUUAAAGGUGGGGACCUUCGGGCCUGCCGCUUAAAGAGUGGUUCACGUCCUAUUAGCUAGUUGGUAGGGUAACGGCCUACCAAGGCAAUGAUGGGUAGCUGGCCUGAGAGGGUGGCCAGCCACACUGGGACUGAGACACUGCCCAGACUCUACGGAGGCUGCAGUCGAGAAUCUUCCGCAAUGGACGAAAGUCUGACGGAGCGACGCCGUGUGUGUGAUGAAGUUCUUCGGGGCGUAAAACACUGUCACAAGGGAAGAAACACAUCAGAAGUAACAUUGCUGGUGUCUGACGGUACCUUGAGAGGAAGCCCCGGCUAACUUCGUGCCAGCAGCCGCGGUAAUACGAAGAGGGGCAAGCGUUGUUCGGAUUUAUUGGGCGUAAAGGGCGUCUAGGUGGCUUUUUAAGUCAGGUGUGAAAUCCUACGGCUCAACCGUAGAACUGCAUUUGAUACUGAAGGGCUUGAGUACAGAAGAGGAAAGCAGAAUUCCCAGUGUAGCGGUGAAAUGCGUAGAUAUUGGGAGGAAUACCAGUGGCGAAGGCGGCUUUCUGGUCUGAUACUGACACUGAAGCGCGAAAGCCAGGGGAGCAAACGGGAUUAGAUACCCCGGUAGUCCUGGCAGUAAACGAUGGGUACUUGGUGUUGGGGGUAUCGACUCCCUCAGUGCCGGAGUUAACACAUUAAGUACCCCGCCUGGGGAGUACGGCCGCAAGGUUGAAACUCAAAGGAAUUGACGGGGGCCCGCACAAGCGGUGGAACAUGUGGCUUAAUACGACGCAACGCGUAGAACCUUACCAAGGCUUGACAUGUAUUGGACAGGGUAUGAAAGUACCUCUCUUCGGAGCCGAUACACAGGUGUUGCAUGGCUGUCGUCAGCUCGUGUCGUGAGAUGUUGGGUUAAGUCCCGCAACGAGCGCAACCCUUGUUUCUAGUUACCAGCACUUCGGGUGGGGACUCUAGAGAGACUGCCGGUGAUAAACCGGAGGAAGGUGGGGAUGACGUCAAGUCAUUAUGGCCCUUACGCCUUGGGCUGCACACGUGUUACAAUGAUCGGUACAAAGGGUUGCAAUACCGCGAGGUGGAGCUAAUCUCAAAAGCCGGUCCCAGUUCGGAUUGAAGUCUGCAAUUCGACUUCAUGAAGUCGGAAUCGCUAGUAAUGGCGUAUCAGCUACGACGCCGUGAAUACGUUCCCGGGCCUUGUACACACCGCCCGUCACAUCAUGAAAGUUUGCUGUACCCGAAGUCAAUGAUCUAACCCCUUACGGGAGGAAGUUGCCGAAGGUAUGGCCAAUGAUUGGGAUGAAGUCGUAACAAGGUAGCCGUAUCGGAAGGUGCGGCUGGAUCACCUCCUUUCUAAGGAG